This 492-nucleotide ribosomal RNA is filed under the name uncultured bacterium. Its description in RNAcentral is "partial 16S ribosomal RNA". It matches the Rfam family "Bacterial small subunit ribosomal RNA", at positions 29 to 507 of the family's 1533-position model. The record is from RNAcentral.
AGUGAACGCUGGCGGUAGGCCUAACACAUGCAAGUCGAACGGCAGCACAGUAAGAGCUUGCUCUUACGGGUGGCGAGUGGCGGACGGGUGAGGAAUACAUCGGAAUCUACUUUUUCGUGGGGGAUAACGUAGGGAAACUUACGCUAAUACCGCAUACGACCUACGGGUGAAAGCAGGGGAUCUUCGGACCUUGCGCGAUUGAAUGAGCCGCUGUCGGAUUAGCUAGUUGGCGGGGUAAAGGCCCACGAAGGCGACGAUCCGUAGCUGGUCUGAGAGGAUGGUCGGCCACACUAGAACUGAGACACGGUCCAGACUCCUGCGGGAGGGAGCAGUGGCGAAUAUUGGGCAAUAGGCGCAAGCCUGGUCCAGCCAUACCGCGUGGGUGAAGAAGGCCUUCGGGUUGUAAAGCCCUUUUGUUGGGAAAGAAAAGCAGCAGGUUAAUACCCCGCUGUUCUGACGGUACCCAAAGAAUAAGCACCGGCUAACUUCAUG